Molecule: ribosomal RNA, 400 nt
Filed under: uncultured bacterium
Lineage: Bacteria
Description: bacterial SSU rRNA
Rfam family: Bacterial small subunit ribosomal RNA
Source: RNAcentral
UGGGGAAUAUUGCACAAUGGGCGCAAGCCUGAUGCAGCCAUGCCGCGUGUGUGAAGAAGGCCUUCGGGUUGUAAAGCACUUUCAGCGGGGAGGAGAGGGGACUUAUUAAUACUGAGUUUCUGAGACGUUACCCGCAGAAGAAGCACCGGCUAACUCCGUGCCAGCAGCCGCGGUAAUACGGAGGGUGCGAGCGUUAAUCGGAAUUACUGGGCGUAAAGGGCACGCAGGUGGUGUAUUAAGUCGGGUGUGAAAUCCCCGGGCUCAACCCGGGAACGGCAUCUGAUACUGGUACGCUUGAGUUUUGUAGAGGGGGGUAGAAUUCCAGGUGUAGCGGUGAAAUGCGUAGAGAUCUGGAGGAAUACCGGUGGCGAAGGCGGCCCCCUGGACAGAGACUGACACU